CCAAUAGCGUAUAUUAAAGUUGUUGCAGUUAAAAAGCUCGUAGUUGAAUUUCGGGAUUCGUCCAUUGGUCAGGCUUAACUGUCUGUACUGGUGUGUCGGAUUUCUACCUUCUGAAGAACCUUUAUGCCAUUAAUUUGGUGUGUUGGGGAAUCAGGACUGUUACUUUGAAAAAAUUAGAGUGUUUAAAGCAGGCUAACGUCUGAAUACAUUAGCAUGGAAUAAUGAAAUAGGACGGUACGGUUCUAUUUUGUUGGUUUCUAGGAUCGCCGUAAUGAUUAAUAGGGAUAGUUGGGGGAAUUAGUAUUCAAUUGUCAGAGGUGAAAUUCUUGGAUUUAUUGAAGACUAACUACUGCGAAAGCAUUUGCCAAGGAUGUUUUCAUUAAUCAAGAACGAAAGUUAGGGGAUCGAAGACGAUCAGAUACCGUCGUAGUCUUAACCAUAAACUAUGCCGACUAGGGAUUGGACGAUGUUAAUUUUUUAAUGACUCGUUCAGCACCUUACG
Molecule: ribosomal RNA, 502 nt
Filed under: uncultured Glomeromycotina
Lineage: Eukaryota; Fungi; Glomeromycota
Description: partial small subunit ribosomal RNA
Rfam family: Eukaryotic small subunit ribosomal RNA
Source: RNAcentral